AUAAGCUAAAUAAGGGCGUAUGGGGAAUGCCUAGGCUCUCAGAGGCGAAGAAGGACGUGAUAAGCUGCGAUAAGCUUCGGUUAGUGGCACAUACAUUUACCCGAAGAUUUCCGAAUGGGGCAACCCGUUAUAUUGAAGAUAUAACAUCCGCAAGGAGGCAAACCAGGAGAACUGAAACAUCUAAGUACCCUGAGGAAGAGAAAAUAAUAAUGAUUCCGUUAGUAGUGGCGAGCGAACGCGGAAGAGCCCAAACCUGUUUUGUUACGGCAAAACAGGGGUUGUAGGACCAUAAUAUGAAGGUGAAACGAACUAGAAUCAGUUGGAAAGCUGAGCGAUAUAGGUGACAGCCCUGUAUAGGUAAAAUUUUAUUGGAUAGUGGUAUCCUGAGUAGCGCGGGGCACGUGUAACCCUGUGUGAAUCUGCCGGGACCAUCCGGUAAGGCUAAAUACUCCUGAGAGACCGAUAGUGAACCAGUACCGUGAGGGAAAGGUGAAAAGAACCCUGAAUAAGGGAGUGAAAAAGAUCCUGAAACCAUACGCUUACAAGCGGUCGGAGCCCUUUUGGGUGACGGCGUGCCUUUUGCAUAAUGAGCCUACGAGUUACCGUUGCUAGCAAGGUUAAGUACUUCAGGUACGGAUCCGUAGCGAAAGCGAGUCUGAAUAGGGCGCUAUAGUUAGUAGUGGUAGACGCGAAACCGUGUGAUCUACCCUUGGGCAGGUUGAAGCUUUGUUAACCCAAAGUGGAGGACCGAACCCGUUGACGUUGAAAAGUCUUGGGAUGACCUGAGGGUAGGGGUGAAAGGCCAAUCAAACUCGGAAAUAGCUCGUACUCCCCGAAAUGCAUUUAGGUGCAGCGUAUACAUAGUUUUAUAGAGGUAGAGCUACUGAUUGGAUGCGGGGGCUUCACCGCCUACCAAUUCCUGACAAACUCCGAAUGCUAUAAAAUGGUUGUAUGCAGUGAGGGCAUGGGUGCUAAGGUCCAUGUCCGAGAGGGAAAGAACCCAGACCAUCAGCUAAGGUCCCUAAAUAUAUGUUAAGUUGAAAAAACGCGGUUGAACUGCUUUGACAGCUAGGAUGUUGGCUUGGAAGCAGCCAUUCAUUUAAAGAGUGCGUAACAGCUCACUAGUCGAGCGGUUUGGCAUGGAUAAUAAUCGGGCAUAAACAUAUUACCGAAGCUAUGGACUUCUUAAGAAGUGGUAGGGGAGCAUUCUAGUUGUGUAGAAGGUGUGUUGUGAAGCAUGCUGGAACGGCUAGAAAAGAAAAUGUAGGCAUAAGUAACGAUAAGGUGGGCGAGAAACCCACCCGCCGAAAGACUAAGGUUUCCUCAGCUAUGCUAAUCAGCUGAGGGUUAGUCGGGACCUAACGCGAACCCGAAAGGGGUAGUGGAUGGACAACAGGUUAAUAUUCCUGUACCUGCUCACAUAAAAAGUGACGGAUUCGAAUAGAUGGUGCGUACUGACGGAAUAGUACGUUGAAGUGAGUAGUAAUACCACGAUAGUACACCGAAGCUUCGGCUGGCGUGAUAAUCCAUCGAAUCGAGUUCCAAGAAAAACGAGUGAAGCAGCCCGUACCCUAAACCGACACAGGUAGUUGGGAUGAGAAUUCUAAGGCGCUCGAGCGAUUCAUGGUUAAGGAACUAGGCAAAAUCGACCCGUAACUUCGGGAGAAGGGUCGCCCCACUUAUGUGGGGCCGCAGUGAAGAGGUCCAGGCGACUGUUUAUCAAAAACACAGGGCUAUGCUAAUUCGAAAGAAGAUGUAUAUGGCCUGACACCUGCCCGGUGCUGGAAGGUUAAGAGGAGGGUUUAGCUUCGGCGAAGAUCUGAAUUGAAGCCCCAGUAAACGGCGGCCGUAACUAUAACGGUCCUAAGGUAGCGAAAUUCCUUGUCGGGUAAGUUCCGACCUGCACGAAUGGUGCAACGAUCUGGACACUGUCUCAACCAUGAUCUCGGUGAAAUUGUAGUAUCGGUGAAGAUGCCGGUUACCCGCUGUGGGACGAAAAGACCCCGUGCACCUUUACUAUAGCUUAGUAUUGGUUUUGGAUAAGUAAUGUGUAGGAUAGGUGGGAGACUUCGAAGCAGCGUCGCCAGGCGUUGUGGAGUCAUUGUUGAAAUACCACCCUUUGCUUGUCUAAAGCCUAACUCAGAGAUGAGGACAGUGCUUGGUGGGUAGUUUGACUGGGGUGGUCGCCUCCAAAAGAGUAACGGAGGCUUCUAAAGGUUUGCUCAGUACGGUUGGUAAUCGUGCGCAGAGUGCAAUGGCAAAAGCAAGCUUGACUGAGAGACCUACAAGUCGAUCAGGUACGAAAGUAGAGCAUAGUGAUCCGGUGGUUCCGCAUGGAAGGGCCAUCGCUCAAAGGAUAAAAGGUACGCCGGGGAUAACAGGCUGAUCUCCCCCAAGAGCUCACAUCGACGGGGGGGUUUGGCACCUCGAUGUCGGCUCGUCACAUCCUGGGGCUGGAGAAGGUCCCAAGGGUUGGGCUGUUCGCCCAUUAAAGUGGCACGCGAGCUGGGUUCAGAACGUCGUGAGACAGUUCGGUCUCUAUCUACAGUGGGCGUUAGAAAUUUGAGUGGAUCUGACUUUAGUACGAGAGGACCGAGUUGGACUAACCUCUGGUGUAUCUGUUGUUGCGCCAGCAGCAUUGCAGAGUAGCUACGUUGGGAAGGGAUAAGCGCUGAAAGCAUAUAAGCGCGAAACCCACCACAAGAUGAGAUUUCUUUAAAGGGUCGUGAGAGACGAUCACGUUGAUAGGCUAUAGGUGUAAAGGCAGUAAUGUCAUAGCCAAGUAGUACUAAUAACCCGUAGGCUUAUGUGU
Molecule: ribosomal RNA, 2812 nt
Filed under: Aquimarina agarivorans
Lineage: Bacteria; Pseudomonadati; Bacteroidota; Flavobacteriia; Flavobacteriales; Flavobacteriaceae
Description: bacterial LSU rRNA
Rfam family: Bacterial large subunit ribosomal RNA
Source: RNAcentral